This 670-nucleotide long non-coding RNA is filed under the name Coturnix japonica (Japanese quail). Its description in RNAcentral is "lncRNA (ENSCJPG00005005175.1)". The record is from RNAcentral. Lineage: Eukaryota; Metazoa; Chordata; Aves; Galliformes; Phasianidae.
AACAUUCAGGAGCACUGCUGAUCUACCAAGAUUUUCAAGAGACCAUUAACCAAACUAAAUCAACUGUGGGGGUGCCAUGACUUUGGUUUGGAAUCUGUCAAGGAAACGCACGCAAUCAAUCAACCCAGAAACAGAAGAAAGCUUUGAUGGCAGCGAGGUUUAUUCUGAGAAGGAGGAGAAUGUGAACUAUUCAGCCAUCUCCACAGGAUAUUUUCCAUAUUACAGAUCAAAUGAGGAGUACUUUGUCGAACCUCUCUUAUAUGACUUAAAUGAAGAAGGAGAGAAGCCUGAAAACAAAGAUGAAGGAGAAGGUGGAUGUGUGGAGCUUGGUGGAGAUGCUGAGAAGACCGCCCACCCAGCUCUGGGGACAGAGAGGAAGCUGUGUUCUUCCAUGGCCAAUGUAGAGCCAACAUCCCAGCAGCUCCCAGGAGGCAGCACCUUGGAAGGCUGCCUUCCAUCCUUCUCCCUCCCCACCACACCGCCAGGCCUGAACCGGCCCUUUUCUUCCAGUGGAUACUUCCCUUACUACAGAACAGAAGCAGAGCUCUGCAUCGGCCCAGCAAUGUGUGACAAGUUUCCCACCAGGACAGAAAAUUUGGAGAAUGAAGAGGGAAGAUGGGUAGAAGACAAAAACACUUGGUAUUCUGAUGCCAGCUGCUUGGUGUCCUGA